This 331-nucleotide ribosomal RNA is filed under the name uncultured eukaryote. Its description in RNAcentral is "SSU rRNA". It matches the Rfam family "Eukaryotic small subunit ribosomal RNA", at positions 594 to 945 of the family's 1831-position model. The record is from RNAcentral.
AUAGCGUAUAUUAAAGUUGUUGCAGUUAAAACGCUCGUAGUCGAAUUUUAGACAAGGACGACCGGUCUACCGUAUGGUAUGACUGGAUGUUCCGCGUCUCUCCUUUGGGGAACAGAUACGAGAGUAUCCGGGAACCAAGUAUUACUGUGAAGAAAUUAGAGUGUUUAAAGCAGGCGUUUGCUUGAAUACGUUAGCAUGGAAUAAUAAGAUAGGACUUUGGUUCUAUUUUGUUGGUUUGAGGACCAAGGUAAUGAUUAAUAGGGACAGUUGGGGGCAUUAGUAUUCAGUAGUCAGAGGUGAAAUUCUUGGAUUUACUGAAGACUAACUAAUG